CCUACGGGAGGCAGCAGUGGGGAAUAUUGCACAAUGGGGGAAACCCUGAUGCAGCAACGCCGCGUGAAGGACGAAGGUGCCAAGCAUUGUAAACUUCUUUUGUCAAGGGACAAAAUCAGGCUCGAGAGCCUGACCGAGGGUACUUGAAGAAAAAGCAUCGGCUAACUCCGUGCCAGCAGCCGCGGUAAUACGGAGGAUGCGAGCGUUAUCCGGAUUUAUUGGGUUUAAAGGGAGCGUAGGCCGGUCUUUAAGCGUGCCGUGAAAUUUUGUGGCUCAACCAUGAGAGUGCGGCGCGAACUGGAGACCUUGAGUGCGCGGAAGGCAGGCGGAAUUCGUGGUGUAGCGGUGAAAUGCUUAGAUAUCACGAAGAACCCCGAUUGCGAAGGCAGCCUGCCGCAGCGUUACUGACGCUGAAGCUCGAAAGCGCGGGUAUCGAACAGGAUUAGAUACCCUUGUAGUC
This 460-nucleotide ribosomal RNA is filed under the name uncultured bacterium. RNAcentral describes it as "partial 16S ribosomal RNA". It matches the Rfam family "Bacterial small subunit ribosomal RNA", at positions 338 to 795 of the family's 1533-position model. The record is from RNAcentral.